GAGGGUAGAGGAAGGACAUCAGUAAUAGAUGGGAGAGGUUGAGGGUAGAGGAAGGACAUCAGAAAUAGAUGGGAGAGAUUGAGGGUAGAGGAAGGACAUCAGUAAUAGAUGGGAGAGGGUAGAGGAAGGACAUCCAUAAUAGAUGAGAGAGGUUGAGGGUAGAGGAAGGACAUCAGUAAUAGAUGAGAGAGGUUGAGGGUAGAGGAAGGAGAUCAGAAAUAGAUGGGAGAGGUUGAGGGUAGAGGAAGGACAUCAGUAAUAGAUGGGAGAGGUUGAGGGUAGAGGAAGGACAUCAGAAAUAGAUGGGAGAGAUUGAGGGUAGAGGAAGGACAUCAGUAAUAUAUGGGAGAGGGUAG
Molecule: long non-coding RNA, 356 nt
Organism: Oncorhynchus tshawytscha (Chinook salmon)
Lineage: Eukaryota; Metazoa; Chordata; Actinopteri; Salmoniformes; Salmonidae
Source: Ensembl